ACUCCUACGGGAGGCAGCAGUGGGGAAUAUUGCACAAUGGGCGCAAGCCUGAUGCAGCCAUGCCGCGUGUGUGAAGAAGGCCUUCGGGUUGUAAAGCACUUUCAGUCGUGAGGAAGGUGAGUGUAGUUAAUAGCUGCUAUAUUUGACGUUAGCGAACAGAGAAGCGACGCUAACUCCGUGCCAGCAGCCGCGGUAAUACGGAGGGUGCAAGCGUUAUCCGGAUUUA
This 226-nucleotide ribosomal RNA is filed under the name uncultured bacterium. RNAcentral's name for it is "partial 16S ribosomal RNA". It matches the Rfam family "Bacterial small subunit ribosomal RNA", at positions 335 to 553 of the family's 1533-position model. The record is from RNAcentral.